AAAAACAUUUACACCUCCUAGCAUCAAUAUAUAUAUAUUUUGCCUUAUUCCUUUUGCUCAGUCUAGCUAUAUAGCUCCCUAUCAUGGCCGAAAAACUCCAAUCCUUUGCUUUCAUUGUUAUUAUUCUGUCGUGCCCUUCCUGGCUGAACAUCUGAUACAAGCUAUAAUCUAAACCUGAUUUCGAGGAGCAGGGACCUUCACUCAAAGAAGAAGGAAUUCAGAAAGGACAUUUUUCAUUGCCUUUGCUUGAUCUUACAUGUAUUAUUUAUAACCAUCCUGCAUAACAGAAUUCUAAUCUUUUCGUACAAAAUGGAAUAUUACAGGAUCAAGUUUGCUAAGUCUGUCUCCUACUACCCGACAGAAUCAAGCAAGGCUGAUAUGCUAAUUCCUAAUUCACCCUCAAAUGUAAUCCUUGAGGUAAGCUGGUCUUGCUACUCUUCUCUUGGGCUUAUCCAUUGCUGUUUGCACCUGUGUUACUGCUUGCACCCCUGUAGUUGUGUGUUCUGCAUCCGUAUCAACAUCCAACAUGGGAUGGCACGACCACUUAACACACUAGUGCUACAUGGAGAUGCAGAUGCUGAUCAAGAACCAAUUAUGAGACCCAUUUUGGAUACAUCACACAAAGUUGUGAGAAGCUCGAAUAUUAAUGUGGGUGUGAUAUCGAUCGAUGGACAGAAGAAUAUCGUUCGGAAACUAGUAAUUGACAACACUGAUCCAAGCCCCAAGGGACCAGGGCAUAAAGGGCUACUAACUUCAGACUCUCAACUCAACAAUUAGAGCUACAUAACUAACAAAAUUACCACUCAGCUAGCACUCUUCGUUUUUAUGUAAUUUUAAGCUUGAUAUUCUGUCAUUGUCAUUGUCUCUGUUUUAUUUUAUUUAUUUCGCUUUUAUUAUUUAUGAAGGGGGAAAUGGAGAAUGCUUUGUCAUUGUCAUAUGUGAUACUGUUGAGAUCUUAUACACAAUUAAUGAAAUCUGUGAUGUAAUUUAUCUAUAUGCAACGUGUAU
RNAcentral lists this long non-coding RNA (1008 nucleotides) under Glycine max (soybean). RNAcentral's name for it is "long non-coding RNA (GMAX_LNC002355)". Lineage: Eukaryota; Viridiplantae; Streptophyta; Magnoliopsida; Fabales; Fabaceae. The record is from RNAcentral.